Molecule: ribosomal RNA, 253 nt
Filed under: uncultured bacterium
Lineage: Bacteria
Description: partial 16S ribosomal RNA
Rfam family: Bacterial small subunit ribosomal RNA
Source: RNAcentral
UACGGAGGGGGCAAGCGUUGUUCGGAAUCAUUGGGCGUAAAGGGCGCGUAGGCGGCUUUGUAAGUCCGUUGUGAAAUCCCUCGGCUCAACCGAGGAACUGCGACGGAUACUGCUUGGCUUGAGUCCCGGAGAGGGUAGCGGAAUUCCCAGUGUAGCGGUGAAAUGCGUAGAUAUUGGGAGGAACAUCGGUGGCGAAGGCGGCUACCUGGACGGGUACUGACGCUGAUGCGCGAAAGCUAGGGGAGCAAACGGG